CGAAAUCCUAAAACCCCAAAACCAUCAGCCAUCCCACAACCAUGUCCUCCUUCGCCGCCGCCAGGUCCGUCCUCCGCUCCUCUGCGGCGCGAACCACCGUGCCCUCGAGGCUCGCCUCCGCCGCCAGUCCCAAACCAGCCUCCUCACCAUUUCGCAUCCCCAAACCAACCCAAAGCCUCUCCGCUCCUCGCAUUUUCAGGUCGCCUGUGGAGUUGAGCUGCUGCGUGGAGACGAUGCUUCCGUACCACACAGCCACAGCCUCUGCAUUGCUCACUUCGAUGCUCUCCGUCUCUCAGCGCUCCUACGGUUGGACCUCCGAAGAUUGCAAUGAUGAUGUAUGAUGAAUAUCAGAGGGUUCGAGCAAAGUUUUAUGUACUUGCGCUCUAAGACAAGGUGGUGAAUAAAACUCUUAAAUUUCUUGAUGUAAGGGGAACUAAAAAUUAAAUAUCGGUGCUUCCUAAUGUUUUUUUUUUUUUUUUUUUGGUUUAAAGUCUUUUAUCUAUUUGUACUGUGAUGAUGGUGAUGAAAAAUGACGACAAUGUUAGUGUUUCCUCAUUAAUUGGGUCAAGAAUUGCACUUUUGUACAUUUCGGUUUCACUUCACCUGAUGGUUUCAUUGAUUUUUUUAACCAUAACUGUAUAAAUCAUAUAUCUACUCUUUACUUUUGUUGUCAAAUUUCAAGGGUGAUGGUUGUAGUAGAUUCUUCUACUUGCCGAAAUCUGUUAAUCGCAUAAUCAUAUCAUGCUUUGACUUCGAUUCUGAUGCAUAUUGACAACUCUGGACCUAGAACAUUAAUUGUCUUCUUCCCACGGCCUUGGCCAUCUGUUUCCAAAUACUUCAUAAGCUGCUUCACUUCUUUUGACUAUGCCUGUUUCUUUGUUUUGGGCUGUGAUGAAUGAUGAUUUCUCAUUAGCUGACUUCAAAAUUUGGCUCGGAGACUUACCAUGUUGCGCUUCUGUUUGCUUUGCUUAUGAAGUUUAAGUUAUGGAUGAUUGUUAUCUGUUGGAAUGCGGUGCAUCGGUCGUAGUUUUCAUGGAUUUCAAUGGACUUUGUAGGACUUGCUUGAGACUUGAGGCAUGCUUCAUCCUAGUUUAAUCCACAGAGUUGUAUUUGUUCUACAAUCAUUCACCAAGUAGGUGCCAUAAUGAUGAUUUAUGUUAUUUUUAUGAUUAAAUUUCCCUUCUUGACAUCUCGAUCAUAACGAGGUUGAGGGCAAACAUGUUGAUGCAAUUUCCAAUCUCCGGUCUUGUUGAUU
Pyrus x bretschneideri (Chinese white pear) is the source of this 1255-nucleotide RNA transcript. It is a transcript of the gene named protein NUCLEAR FUSION DEFECTIVE 6, mitochondrial, with no coding region annotated. The record is from RefSeq and is a predicted model, not a curated record. NCBI's taxonomy places the organism in Eukaryota, Viridiplantae, Streptophyta, Magnoliopsida, Rosales, Rosaceae. The transcript has 4 exons.